AAGUAAAAGUCGUAACAAGGUUUCCGUAGGUGAACCUGCGGAAGGAUCAUUAUCGCACAAUGGAGGUGCUGGGGUUGUCGCUGACUUGAAAGGGUCGUGCACACCUCGGUGCUCUCACACAUAAUCCAUCUCACCCCUUUUGUGCAUCACCGCGUGGGGACCCCUUUUGGCUAGUUCUGAGGGGGGUUUUCACGUUUUUACACAGACACCCUUUUAAUGCAAUGUGUAGAAUGUCUUACUUUUUGCGAUCACACGCAAUCAAUACAACUUCAACAACGACGUAUGUGAUUGCAGAAUUCAGUGAAUCAUCGAAUCUUUGAACGCACCUUGCGCCCUUUGGCAUUCCGAGGGGCACACCCGUUUGAGUGUCGUGACAUCCUCAAAACCUUCUUGGUUUCUUGACCGGGAAGGCUUUUGGACUUUGGAGGCUUUUGCUGGCCUUCCUUUGUUGGAGCCAGCUCCUCUGAAAUGAAUUAGUGGGGUCUGCUUUGCCGAUCCUUGACGUGAUAAGAUGUUUUCUACGUCUUGGGUUUCGCACUGUUCGAUCUGGAUCCUGCUUCUAACUGUCUCAUAGAAGACAAUGGUCAAGUGAUUGCCACUUGACCCACAAACCUUGACCUCAAAUCGGGUGAGACUACCCGCUGAACUUAAGCAUAUCAAUAAGCGGAGGAAGGU
RNAcentral lists this ribosomal RNA (675 nucleotides) under Russula subochracea. RNAcentral's name for it is "eukaryotic LSU rRNA". The stretch from base 1 to 52 matches the Rfam family "Eukaryotic small subunit ribosomal RNA", at positions 1780 to 1831 of the family's 1831-position model. Lineage: Eukaryota; Fungi; Basidiomycota; Agaricomycetes; Russulales; Russulaceae. The record is from RNAcentral.